UUAAUACAACUUUCGACAACGGAUCUCUUGGCUCUCGCAUCGAUGAAGAACGCAGCGAAAUGCGAUAAGUAAUGUGAAUUGCAGAAUUCAGUGAAUCAUCGAAUCUUUGAACGCACCUUGCGCCCUUUGGUAUUCCGAGGGGCAUGCCUGUUUGAGUG
Molecule: ribosomal RNA, 158 nt
Filed under: Schizophyllum commune
Lineage: Eukaryota; Fungi; Basidiomycota; Agaricomycetes; Agaricales; Schizophyllaceae
Description: 5.8S ribosomal RNA
Rfam family: 5.8S ribosomal RNA
About the family: 5.8S ribosomal RNA (5.8S rRNA) is a component of the large subunit of the eukaryotic ribosome. It is transcribed by RNA polymerase I as part of the 45S precursor that also contains 18S and 28S rRNA.
Source: RNAcentral